AGGGGCGGAUCUACAUAAAAAAAUUGGUUGCUCGAACACCCAUUAACCUCGACCCCGAACAUGUAUAAUUAUAUAAAAAACUUAAGAAAACGGAUAUAACAAAAUAGCAAGCACCCAGAUAACAAAAGGCUUGGUGGGUGCUUUGGUUAUGAUGGAUGUUGAAGGGCUCUAAAUGAGUAUAUGGUCAAGAGAUCGAAUCUCA
Molecule: long non-coding RNA, 202 nt
Filed under: Nicotiana benthamiana
Lineage: Eukaryota; Viridiplantae; Streptophyta; Magnoliopsida; Solanales; Solanaceae
Description: long non-coding RNA (NBEN_LNC013993)
Source: RNAcentral